CCUACGGGAGGCAGCAGUGAGGAAUAUUGGUCAAUGGACGAGAGUCUGAACCAGCCAAGUAGCGUGAAGGAUGACUGCCCUAUGGGUUGUAAACUUCUUUUAUAUGGGAAUAAAACGUUCCACGUGUGGGUUUUUGUAUGUACUUUAUGAAUAAGGAUCGGCUAACUCCGUGCCAGCAGCCGCGGUAAUACGGAGGAUCCGAGCGUUAUCCGGAUUUAUUGGGUUUAAAGGGAGCGUAGGUGGGUUGUUAAGUCAGUUGUGAAAGUUUGCGGCUCAACCGUAAAAUUGCAAUUGAGACUGGCAGUCUUGAGUACAGUUGAGGUAGGCGGAAUUCGUGGUGUAGCGGUGAAAUGCUUAGAUAUCGCGCAGAACCCCGAUUGCGAAGGCAGAUUACCAACUCCACACUGACACUGAGGCACGAAAGCGUGGGUAUCGAACAGGAUUAGAUACCCGAGUAGUC
Molecule: ribosomal RNA, 460 nt
Filed under: uncultured bacterium
Lineage: Bacteria
Description: partial 16S ribosomal RNA
Rfam family: Bacterial small subunit ribosomal RNA
Source: RNAcentral